CCCUGGGGACAGGUGACAAUGGCAGGUGCCACCUCAGGUGUGCCCAGGUGCCACCAGGUGUGCCCAGGUGCCACCAGACCUGUCCAGGUGCCACCAGGUGUGCCCAGGUGCCACCAGGUGUGUCCAGGUACCACCAAACCUGUCCAGGUGCCACCAGGUGUGCCCAGGUGCCACCAAACCUGUCCAGGUGCCACCAGGUGUGUGCCCAAGUGCCACCUCAGGUGUGUCCAGGUGCCACCAAACCUGUCCAGGUGCCACCUCAGGUGUGUCCAGGUGCCACCAGGUGUGCCCAGGUGCCACCAGGUGAGUUCCCAGCUGUUCCCAGGUGCCACCAGGUGUGUCCAGGUGCCACCAGGUGUGUCCAGCUGUCUCCAG
This 375-nucleotide long non-coding RNA is filed under the name Zonotrichia albicollis (white-throated sparrow). RNAcentral's name for it is "lncRNA (ENSZALG00000000209.1)". Lineage: Eukaryota; Metazoa; Chordata; Aves; Passeriformes; Passerellidae. The record is from RNAcentral.